CGGGUGCACUGAUCCAGCCGGGCCUUUCCCUCUGUGGAACCCCAUGGCCUUCACUGGCUGUGGUGGGGAAACAGGACUUUUACUUUGAAAAAAUUAGAGUGCUCCAGGCAGGCCUAUGCUCGAAUACAUUAGCAUGGAAUAAUAGAAUAGGACGUGUGGUUCUAUUUUGUUGGUUUCUAGGACCGCCGUAAUGAUUAAUAGGGACAGUCGGGGGCAUCAGUAUUCAAUUGUCAGAGGUGAAAUUCUUGGAUCUAUUGAAGACUAACUACUGCGAAAGCAUUUGCCAAGGAUGUUUUCAUUGAUAAGGAACGAAAGUUAGGGGAUCGAAGACGAUCAGAUACCGUCGUAGUCUUAACUAUAAACUAUGCCGACUAGGGAUCGGACGAUGUUAUUCUUUGACGCGUUCGGCACCUUUCGAGAAAUCAAAGUGCUUGGGCUCCAGGGGGAGUAUGGUCGCAAGGCUGAAACUUAAAGAAAUUGACGGAAGGGCACCACCAGGGGUGGAACCUGCGGCUUAAUUUGACUCAACACGGGGAAACUCACCAGGUCCAGACACAGUGAGGAUUGACAGAUUGAGAGCUCUUUCCUGAUUCUGUGGGUGGUGGUGCAUGGCCGUUCUUAGUUGGUGGAGUGAUUUGUCUGCUUAAUUGCGAUAACGAACGAGACCUUAACCUGCUAAAUAGCCCGUACUGCUUUGGCAGUUCGCCGGCUUCUUAGAGGGACUAUCGG
Molecule: ribosomal RNA, 729 nt
Filed under: uncultured eukaryote
Lineage: Eukaryota
Description: SSU rRNA
Rfam family: Eukaryotic small subunit ribosomal RNA
Source: RNAcentral